RNAcentral lists this ribosomal RNA (429 nucleotides) under Verrucomicrobiota bacterium. RNAcentral's name for it is "Verrucomicrobia bacterium partial 16S ribosomal RNA". It matches the Rfam family "Bacterial small subunit ribosomal RNA", at positions 355 to 776 of the family's 1533-position model. Lineage: Bacteria; Pseudomonadati; Verrucomicrobiota. The record is from RNAcentral.
UAGGGAAUCUUCGGCAAUGGGGGGAACCCUGACCGAGCAACGCCGCGUGAGUGAAGAAGGUUUUCGGAUCGUAAAGCUCUGUUGUUAAGGAAGAACGAGUGUGAGAAUGGAAAGUUCAUGCUGUGACGGUACUUAACCAGAAAGGGACGGCUAACUACGUGCCAGCAGCCGCGGUAAUACGUAGGUCCCGAGCGUUGUCCGGAUUUAUUGGGCGUAAAGCGAGCGCAGGCGGUUAGAAAAGUCUGAAGUGAAAGGCAGUGGCUCAACCAUUGUAGGCUUUGGAAACUGUUUAGCUUGAGUGCAGAAGGGGAGAGUGGAAUUCCAUGUGUAGCGGUGAAAUGCGUAGAUAUAUGGAGGAACACCGGUGGCGAAAGCGGCUCUCUGGUCUGUAACUGACGCUGAGGCUCGAAAGCGGGGGGAGCGAACAGG